RNAcentral lists this ribosomal RNA (927 nucleotides) under Providencia rettgeri. RNAcentral's name for it is "partial 23S ribosomal RNA". Lineage: Bacteria; Pseudomonadati; Pseudomonadota; Gammaproteobacteria; Enterobacterales; Morganellaceae. The record is from RNAcentral.
AAAAGAAAUCAACCGAGAUUCCCCUAGUAGCGGCGAGCGAACGGGGAGCAGCCCAGAGUCUUAAUCAGCAUUAGCAUCAGGAGAACGGUCUGGAAAGUCCGGCAGUAAAGGGUGAUAGCCCCGUAUCCGAAGGUGUUAGUGUUGUGAACUCGACGAGUAGGGCGGGACACGUGUUAUCCUGUCUGAAUAUGGGGGGACCAUCCUCCAAGGCUAAAUACUCCUGAUUGACCGAUAGUGAACCAGUACCGUGAGGGAAAGGCGAAAAGAACCCCGGCGAGKGGAGUGAAAUAGAACCUGAAACCGUGUACGUACAAGCAGUGGGAGCCUUGAUUUAUCAGGGUGACUGCGUACCUUUUGUAUAAUGGGUCAGCGACUUAUAUUCUGUAGCAAGGUUAACCGUAUAGGGGAGCCGUAGGGAAACCGAGUCUUAACUGGGCGAAUAAGUUGCAGGGUAUAGACCCGAAACCCGGUGAUCUAGCCAUGGGCAGGUUGAAGGUUGGGUAACACUAACUGGAGGACCGAACCGACUAAUGUUGAAAAAUUAGCGGAUGACUUGUGGCUGGGGGUGAAAGGCCAAUCAAACCGGGAGAUAGCUGGUUCUCCCCGAAAGCUAUUUAGGUAGCGCCUCGUGAACUCAUCUUCGGGGGUAGAGCACUGUUUCGACUAGGGGGUCAUCCCGACUUACCAACUCGAUGCAAACUACGAAUACCGAAGAAUGUUAUCACGGGAGACACACGGCGGGUGCUAACGUUCGUCGUGAAGAGGGAAACAACCCAGACCGCCAGCUAAGGUCCCAAAGUCAUAGUUAAGUGGGAAACGAAGUGGGAAGGCUCAGACAGCCAGGAUGUUGGCUUAGAAGCAGCCAUCAUUUAAAGAAAGCGUAAUAGCUCACUGGUCGAGUCGGCCUGCGCGGAAGAUGUAACGGGG